CGGGGCCUUAUUGUAGUGUUGCCAUAUUUUUUUAAUUGAAUAUGCACUUAUUUUUUUUGGAAUUUGAGAAAUGGAAAUGAGACAAAUAGGCCUAAAUAAUCUCACUUAUACAAAAUAGACACAAAAGCACAGAAGGUUUGUAAAACUAUUUUAUUUACAAGUCAAAAUGGCUCAAAAGCGGCCACAGUUUAUGCUCAUGCGAACUGUGGACAGUUUACUGUAGUGCGACGAUGUGGUGUGAGGAGCCGACAGGCAACUGUCACUCUCCUCUGCAUAGAAGACAACGUACAGAAGAUCUCAUGGAGUUUAUUAUACACAAAUGACGUGUGAUAUUAUAGAACUGCUUGCCAAUCUGUGCAUUGGCACUACAUCUUUAUAAGGCUUUAAGCUCUAUGGUACAAGGCAAGAUGACAACAGCCUCAGAGAUCUGCAUUUCAUGCUAUCAAACAUGACUAACCGAGUGUCCUCCACUUAAAGCUGAAACAUGACAAAAAGAAACAAGCGUUCUCAUGAAAGAAACAGGGUGCAGAUCAACCACAUUAUUAGGUUACUUUCAAUUCAUUAUCGAUUCAAGCACUUAACUCCAUGAUUAAUGGAAAAGCUCACCCCGAAAAGAAAAUUCUGGCAGUUUACUCUUAACGCUAAAAAUUCUCUCAAAUCUCAUUUACGCUUAUGUAUAUUCAAACAUACAUGUUAUGGUGCUUUUGCAUCAGCAUCAAAUGCAGCUGUUGUACUUGUGACUGAUUGUAAUGUGUCAUUUGAAUGUUUUGAAUUGAUUGUGAAUGCUACUGACACUUCAAAACAAAAACACAAAGUAACAAUAUGGCUUCAGAAGACUCAAGAUACACAGUUGUCAAAUAUCAAGUGCUGACCUAGUUACAUCUCACUUUUUGUCCAUUAAACCUGAAUAAUAUUGGAAUUCACACUCGGCUUCUGUAAACAGUAAUAGGAAUGCCUACUCUGAUUUGAUUGGCCAUCUAAGUAAUUUUGACACAACAUCUUUGCACCAAAGUACAACUAUUAUUAGGGAAAGUUUAUAAUACACCUCGAAAAGGUCCGCAUCUGGUGGACCUCAACGGUUGUUAAAACUAUGGAUAGAAGCUGUGCGGACAACUUACAGUACAGUUGUUUUGUAAUUACUGGAGCUCUACUUUAAUUUCCCUUUAUAGACUUUCUUUGUUUGAAGACAAAAAAAAAAAACAGCUUUGACAUUCCACUAAACUUCUCCUUUUGCGAUCAACGGAGGAAAUAAAGUCUUACGCAAUGAGUAAAUGACAGAAUUUUCAUUUUUGGGUGACCUAGUCCUCUAAGCAGUGGGUAAUUCAGGAAUGGUUACAAUUAAGAUGCAAAACAUCUCCUAAAAUGCUGUUUGCCCUCACUCACUAGCAAAUAUGUACACUUUCAACUACAUGCUACGACACAUUAAAAAUAUCAAAAGACCUUUGAGAACUAUACCCCCUUUGGAGCCAUGACCCAAUCCAUCUCACAGUGCGGCAGUACAGCUCUGUAACAUCUGCGACCCUUGAAUAUUCAGUGUAUUUUUUUUAAAGAACAGAAAACGAUAGAGGAUGAGGGCAAGAAUGCAGGAUCAGAGAUAAAUGGAGGAAGAGACAGGAAGUGGGAGUGUGGAGUGAAGGACAGCAGCAGGUAUCAGCCAGCCAGUUUGCUGGCAACCAGAGAGGGUUUCCUCUGUGGCAGGUCCUGAGGAGUGGGGAUGUGGUCUCCAGUGAUCUCGGUCUUCUCUGUCUGCGCUGCUGGAAGCUGCUUGUUCUUAAUCUUGGCCUUCGCCAUGUUGUAGUCGCCCGAGUCAAAGUACUUUGGCUGGGAAAGUAAGCAGUUCAGGAGAGUAAAACUUGUUGGCAUGAGUAAAUUAUAGCACAUUAAAUGUGUUGAUUGUGUUCCAAAGCAUACAUGUUGUUAAGACUAUUGAUAUACAUGAAAAUAUUGGAGCCACUGAAUGGAAAUGGAAAAUAUGUUAAACAAAAACAACACUGCCAAAUAUUAAAUUUCAAAUACAAAUAUCUAAUAUUAAAUCAUUUCUUAAUACGCAUCGUACUUUCACGAGCAACAAAGCAGACACCAUUUUUAACUGCAACACUACCAGUCAAUUCUUUGGAAUAAUUAAAAAACAAAAAUUAUGUGUUUAUGACUUCCAUAGAACCACCAACUGUUGGAUUACCAGCAAUCUUCAAAAUAUCUUCUUUUAUGUUCAACAUAAGAAAACAACUCAUACUGGUUUGGAACGACAUGAGGGUGAGUUAAUGAUGACAGAAUUUUCAUUUUUGGGUAACUAUCCCACGAGCGGAACAGUCAAACACAUCCAUGUUUUACACCUGUAAAGAACUACUACUGUAUGUCAAAUCUUUCAUGUUUGCAUCAUGGUGACAGGCUAAAACCUGCUGUUGUUUUUAAAGAACAUUUAUAGUUAAUAAAAGUGUACUGGAGAUAUAGCUUCAGUCAUUUUGAAUUUGAAUUACCUUGACUUUUAAAAAUUAUUUUACUCUUAUUAUUUGUAUAACACAUAAUAUGUAUAAGACAAGUUUGUACAUUAAUAAGUUGUAGUUUUUGCAUCUUUUCUGCAAAGAUAUUUAACAAGUGAAUAGUUUAAAGGUCACAUAUUUUACACCUUUCUGGAGUUUUAUUUUAGGAUUUGAUGUCCGGUAUAAGUAUAUUUGCGGUAUAAGUACCAAAAACCAUCUCAAUAUAUUUUUACAGCUCCUUUCUCAGGAAAUGCUGAGAACAGGUUGAUUUUGGCCUGUCUAAAUAUUAUUCAUGAGCCUCUCUUCUGAUUGGCCUGUUGUUUUCUGAGUGACACACGGCCAGGCCAACCACAGGUAACUAGGGUCAGCCGACGUCACAGCGCUAGCUGGAGGCAGCAAAACAAAGGGGAAACUAGAGGCGGCCCAUUUAAACCAGCGAGAUUCUGCUACAUAAGGAGCUUAAGACAUCAUCUUGUUGUGAUAUUGGGUGCCAGAAUCGACGUAAUACAGCCUCAAAUUAGAAAUUUGAUCGCAUAUCUGCUGCCACUGCCAGACAAAAACGCGAUAAAAUGAGCAGACUGGACAGAAACAAACGUCAAAAAUGCUCAUAUUUGCAGCGCACACUUCUUAUCAGAAAAGGUUCAAUAAAGUAUUGUCUUUUGUUGUUAUGGACGCGUCUACAGAUUUCUUGCCAUAUGUUUCUUGUAUCUCACAACUAUGUCGUGUAUGAAAUAAUGUCUGUUUGCAUAUGUGUAAAACAACAAACUGAUGAUUUAUAUAUAAUCAUUUGUAAUUGUAUAUUCAUUGUUGUGAUUAAUUGUGGCUGGAAAAAUACUGCCCUACAAAGGCAAAAGACCUUAACUCGCUACAGUGUGAAACUGAGUAAAAUUACUUUAGAGUUUUUUACUUGUCCAGCCAAAUUAAUUAUUUGUAGGACACUGGAAAUUAGGGGUCUGCAUGUGUACUGCACGUCGAUGUGGAAAAAACGACACAGAACGAUAGCCUGUGGCGUAAAGACUACUACAUAGGUCUGUCGCAGAAGUAUAAAUCAUCCUUAAGUGUAUACCAAUGACCGAGUUUAAUGUUCUCAAACUGACCAGAACUUGUGUCUGUUUUCUUGCAAUACUAAUGCCAUCUGUGGCUCAUGAGUCAUGACUCACAGAUCACAUGAUGCUGUGAUGUUCUACUGCUGUGAUCUAUAUCUCCUCUUCUAACACAGUUAUUUACCCUAACAAUAUGGGUGGUAGAAAGAGAGUGUGUGAAUGAAUCUUACCCCCUUCUGCAGCCUUUUUCUGAGCAGAUCGGAUCCUCCGGGUUUAUUACCCAAGUGAGGAUAUUUGGCCUUCAGUUUGGCUUCCUCCAGUUGUUCUGGACAGACCUUAUUCUCCUCAUCCUGAGAGAAAACAAACACAUCACACACAAUUUAAUGUCACACAUUUGAGUCAUACCGGCACCAUUUAAAUUGGAAAUUCUCAAAGAUUAACAAACAAAGCUUUCCCAA
Long non-coding RNA from Cyprinus carpio carpio, 3981 nucleotides. The record is from Ensembl. Lineage: Eukaryota; Metazoa; Chordata; Actinopteri; Cypriniformes; Cyprinidae.